RNAcentral lists this ribosomal RNA (253 nucleotides) under uncultured bacterium. Its description in RNAcentral is "partial 16S ribosomal RNA". It matches the Rfam family "Bacterial small subunit ribosomal RNA", at positions 524 to 776 of the family's 1533-position model. The record is from RNAcentral.
UACAGAGGGGGCAAGCGUUAUUCGGAAUUAUUGGGCGUAAAGGGCGCGUAGGCGGUUCUUCAAGUCUGUCGUGAAAUCCCUCGGCUUAACUGAGGACGUGCGGGAGAUACUGAAGGGCUUGAGUCCGGAAGAGGGUGGUGGAAUUCCCAGUGUAUCGGUGAAAUGCGUAGAUAUUGGGAGGAACACCGGUGGCGAAGGCGGCCACCUGGGCCGGAACUGACGCUGAGGCGCGAAAGCGUGGGGAGCAAACGGG